AUUGAACGCUGGCGGCAUGCUUUACACAUGCAAGUCGAACGGCAGCGCGGGCUUCGGCCUGGCGGCGAGUGGCGAACGGGUGAGUAAUACAUCGGAACGUGCCCAGUGUUGGGGGAUAGCUCGGCGAAAGCCGGAUUAAUACCGCAUACGACCUGAUGGUGAAAGCGGGGGAUCUUCGGACCUCGCGCGAUUGGAGCGGCCGAUGGCAGAUUAGCUAGUUGGUGGGGUAAAGGCCUACCAAGGCGACGAUCUGUAGCUGGUCUGAGAGGACGACCAGCCACACUGGGACUGAGACACGGCCCAGACUCCUACGGGAGGCAGCAGUGGGGAAUUUUGGACAAUGGGCGAAAGCCUGAUCCAGCAAUGCCGCGUGUGUGAUGAAGGCCUUCGGGUUGUAAAGCACUUUUGGCGGGAACGAAAAGGACUGUGCCAAUACCACGGUUCGAUGACGGUACCCGAAGAAUAAGCACCGGCUAACUACGUG
RNAcentral lists this ribosomal RNA (484 nucleotides) under uncultured bacterium. RNAcentral's name for it is "partial 16S ribosomal RNA". It matches the Rfam family "Bacterial small subunit ribosomal RNA", at positions 29 to 507 of the family's 1533-position model. The record is from RNAcentral.